AUUGAACGCUGGCGGCAUGCCUUACACAUGCAAGUCGAACGGCAGCACGGGUGCUUGCACCUGGUGGCGAGUGGCGAACGGGUGAGUAAUACAUCGGAACAUGUCCUGUAGUGGGGGAUAGCCCGGCGAAAGCCGGAUUAAUACCGCAUACGAUCUACGGAUGAAAGCGGGGGACCUUCGGGCCUCGCGCUAUAGGGUUGGCCGAUGGCUGAUUAGCUAGUUGGUGGGGUAAAGGCCUACCAAGGCGACGAUCAGUAGCUGGUCUGAGAGGACGACCAGCCACACUGGGACUGAGACACGGCCCAGACUCCUACUGGAGGCAGCAGUGGGGAAUUUUGGUCAAUGGGCGAAAGCCUGAUCCAGCAAUGCCGCGUGUGUGAAGAAGGCCUUCGGGUUGUAAAGCACUUUUGUCCGGAAAGAAAUCCUUGGCCCUAAUACGGUCGGGGGAUGACGGUACCGGAAGAAUAAGCACCGGCUAACUACGUG
RNAcentral lists this ribosomal RNA (486 nucleotides) under uncultured bacterium. Its description in RNAcentral is "partial 16S ribosomal RNA". It matches the Rfam family "Bacterial small subunit ribosomal RNA", at positions 30 to 507 of the family's 1533-position model. The record is from RNAcentral.